UACGAAGGGGGCUAGCGUUGCUCGGAAUCACUGGGCGUAAAGGGUGCGUAGGCGGGUCUUUAAGUCAGGGGUGAAAUCCUGGAGCUCAACUCCAGAACUGCCUUUGAUACUGAAGAUCUUGAGUCCGGGAGAGGUGAGUGGAACUGCGAGUGUAGAGGUGAGAUUCGUAGAUAUUCGCAAGAACACCAGUGGCGAAGGCGGCUCACUGGCCCGGUACUGACGCUGAGGCACGAAAGCGUGGGGAGCAAACAGG
Molecule: ribosomal RNA, 253 nt
Filed under: uncultured bacterium
Lineage: Bacteria
Description: partial 16S ribosomal RNA
Rfam family: Bacterial small subunit ribosomal RNA
Source: RNAcentral